GGCCUUAGCUCAGUGGUAGAUCAUCUGUUUUGAAUACAGAAGGUCCCACCUUGAAUUCCUGGUGUCACCA
Podarcis lilfordi (Lilford's wall lizard) is the source of this 70-nucleotide non-coding RNA. Lineage: Eukaryota; Metazoa; Chordata; Lepidosauria; Squamata; Lacertidae. The record is from the annotation of a GenBank genome assembly.